RNAcentral lists this small RNA (3531 nucleotides) under Drosophila virilis. Its description in RNAcentral is "GJ26382". Lineage: Eukaryota; Metazoa; Arthropoda; Insecta; Diptera; Drosophilidae. The record is from RNAcentral.
CAUAAACUGAAUAUCGUAUUUCAUCAAUUGUUUCCCAGCAUACUUUCAGGAUGAAUGCUAAAGGAUAUAUCCUGAAUCCUCAACAACACGAUUCACAAAAUUUAGAAUAACUAAAACGGACGCGGUGCCUAACAACGACGAACGGAUGUGAUUGUGAGAUGUCUGUAAGAUGUCUGUGAGUGUGGAGUGGAUUUUGUGAGACACUCGGAAACAGAAACAGAAGAAACUUGGAUGAAAAAAUAUAGUGUAUAGUAUUCUUGGGUUAAUUAAAAGUUUGGAACUGAACGGGUUAAAUACACAAAUUAUGAACUUAAACGUGAGAACGAAACGGAACGGAAUGAAACGGAACGGAAUGGAACAGAAACUGUGAACAGUUGAAACUGCUUAACAAAAUUAAAAUUGUUGAACUCCAGGCUCCAGGAAUAAAGUGCUGUAAAUAGAAAUUUUAAUUAUUAGUAAACAGUCGGGGGUAUCUUCUCUUGGAUCCGGCAACGCUCCUUGGCGGCAGAGUUGGUUCAAGAAAUUCUUCAUGUUCGCGGAUAUAGCAACGCCUCUUGGCGUUCGACAACGCUUCGCAUCCUUAUGGUAAAUUACAGUUACGCCGCUUGGCAAAAAAUUAUCAGAAAUCUUUGUGUAUAUACAGACGUGUUUUUUUUUUUUUUUUUUUGGCAGAGAGCAGCUGAAAAUCUUCGCUGAUAUGGCAACGCCUCUUGGCAUUUCACUCCUAAUUGCAUCUUCAUGGUAAAUUACAGUAUUUAGCAGCGGAAAUCUUGCGCGAGUAUGGCAACAUUUUUUGAACUUUAUAAGGGCAGCACCUUUUAGUCAAAUAUUCAGUUUGUAAAUAGAUUUUGAUUGUCUGGCAAGGCAUGGAUUUCUGGACCCCAGGCAGAGGGACGCAGCAGGUGUGAAGGACCAGAAGGGAGCACAGUUUACAGAAGAGAAUCAAGUUUAAUUUGGACAAUUGCUUGGAAAGCUUCGAAAUCGCGGCAGGACUUUGGCAAAAACGGAAUGGAAUGGAAAAUAAGGAGGAAAAAUAAAACUUUGGCUCCGAUUGGCUCCAAGUUUCGCCUAGUUUCGUCUAGAGACAAGCUCAUCUGAAAGAACACAGCAAGGAAAUAGGUUAAUAACGAGGGCCAACUCGCUCUACUGGGGCAUCGCCUAGAAGACGUCGCGCCCGACCAGACCCGGCAAUUGCGCGCGUCCCUCCUUUCCGCCUUGUUUUCAGGCUGACUCUCCUAAAACGCGGUUUUUUCAUUUGAUGUGAUGUGAUGUGCACAAUUGAGCGCCAUUUUUUUGUUUUGUUAUCGAUCUAUCGAAAGCAACGCUUUUGAUGAUUAGCUUUGACUUGGCAAACCAACUGCGCGACUCACACGUGUCGCGAGCAACUGGUUUGCCGUUUUUUCCAUUUCAAUUUUCAUUUUCUGCUCUUUUUUAUUUUUUUUUUUAUCAUAAAUUCAUCGUUUACGGCGCGUUCGAAAACGCGACGAAAACUCUCCUCAAAAUAAAUUUCUUUUUAUUUUUAUUAUUUUUUUUUUUUUUUUUGCAUGCAUUAUUUUUUUUCCUAUUUGAACUCCUGCGCUAAUUGUGCACACCACGUAUAACGUGGACAAUUUUUGUUCCAUUUUAAAUUAUUUGUUUGAUUGAUUUAUUGAUUUACUUUGGCUUUGGCAAAGGCGACGCGGCAAUUGCCCGCAGAGAGGCCGGCGUUACGCCCCGUCUCGAAGUCGGAAAAACUCACCAGGCAGCAGCUUUUAAAAAAGCAUUUUACGGAAAUCACAACUGGGAAACUCGGCUGUAAGCAAAGUACAUAUUAUACGACACACAACUGGUAUGGGAUGGCAUAUGUACAUGGGUAAACCAAGAAUUGAUGACAUUAAAUUAAAGGACAAACGCUGCCAGCUGCGAUUUCAAAGUGGAAAAAACUCGAUUUUAACAAAUAUCGAAUCAAUUUUUGAGGUUAUGGCGUGGUGUAACUGUAUUGUGCUCCGUUAACGGUACAACACGAUUGAAGCUGCGCCCCGGGUCCAUGCAUUAGCUAUUUUUCGUCUCUCUCGCUCUCUUUUAUGUUCUGCUUGAACAUGUUUUCCUUUGAAGGAAUUUUAGGCAAUUUCUUUCUCUGCACUUCUUCUCACUCUUCCUUUCUCGCUCUCUUUUAUGUUCUGCUUGAACACGUCGUUAGCACUCUUCUCCCUCUCCUUCUUUCCAUCUCUCUCUCUCUCUCUCUCUCUUUUGUGGGUUUCUUCAAAACGUUUGCAUCUGCGAUUUUUCAGGAAUUUCAGGAUUGUCAACUUAUCGCUUUGCAUUUUUCUCCCUCUCUCUGGCUCUCUGCCUGCUUCACCAUGCGACAGUCGCCCCAGCGACACGGCCUAAACAAAAUAGAAGGCAAAAACCAACUAAGGAAUACUCUGCCUAAAGACGGACGCUGGAUCGGACGCAAUGUUGCUGCACAAUAUUCGGACGUAGUCAUGCCAAAUGGGAUGCGGCUUGAUGGAUUAGUGUGUGAAUUACGAUGACAUUUUUUGCGUCUUAUGCGUUUAAUAAUUGAUCGAUUAUGUGGGUUAACGGCACUUGGCGGCCAUUUUGUUAAGUAUAUAUGUAUAUAAUCAUAUUGAACUGCGAGUCAUGUGCUCGGCUGGUUUUUAGGGAAGCUUGAGCCCAACGCAGCCUGGCGCCGAGCUGUGCGCCUGCCUCGGUUGUGCGGGGGCUUGUGCUGGCGGGGGAAACGCGCGCGGCAUGGGGGGGUACUCGACCCGCAAAUUAUAUUGUUAUACACACUUUGCAGCAUGUAACUGUAAUCGUUUAUGUGUUUUGUAUUGCUUUCGCGUUCUUAUCGAUGGGGCUCCGCUAUUGCGUUUGGGUGCAUAGGGCCGUCCCGCUCUGACGCUCGUUGCCGCCGCCACGCGCCAAGCGAGAUGGACAUAUGUCUGUUGCGUUGUUCGAGAGGAACGCGCUCUCUGUGCUCUUUGCUCUUUUUCGCCAUCUCACUCGCAUCCGUGUGCUGCCGCGCACACUCGCGAUAGAAGUAUGUGGUUACGCUUCGUCUCGCUUUCGUUGUGUGUGCGGCUCCAAACGGACACGAUUCGAUGUGCUUAUCUAUUGUCCAUUUGUCCACCUCGCUCGCCGCGCCCUUCCAUCCAAGAGCGUAAUUAGUUCUCCCCCCUUUGGCCUAGGGGCACCCGCCCGCAAUCGCAGAGUGUGAUUGAUCUGAGCCCGCAGCAGCCGCACACGCCCCGCACGCGCCUUCCUUUCGCUGAGCGGAGGAGUUGCCAACCCUCUCACGGAAAGAAGAGGCACCACAAGCCCCCAACCGGGACAUACUCACCCGCGGCACCCGCCCGUUGGGAUUUGCUUUAAUGCUUCUUUCAGCGCUUCUUGCAGCUCCGUUUAUCGGUUUGAUGGAUCAAUGGAUACGAUGACACACAAGGCGGGCUGAUGCAGGCACAUGGAUUGAUUAUACAUCGAAUAUUGCGCACUUUGCAGCUCGGAAAGCAGUUGACGCAGGCCCUGGGUACAGUUGCCAGGCAAAAGAAA